This 1648-nucleotide long non-coding RNA is filed under the name Rattus norvegicus (Norway rat). RNAcentral's name for it is "long non-coding RNA NONRATT031168". The record is from RNAcentral. Lineage: Eukaryota; Metazoa; Chordata; Mammalia; Rodentia; Muridae.
AAAGUAGUCACUGACUGACCAUUUGUUAACAUACUGUAAAAAGAAUUCCUGUACUGGCUACAUGUUUGGUAUAAAGUUCCUUCAGGCUUACGUUCUGAACAUACAAACUAUGUCAGUGCCAUGUUCUGGUUGAACUUACAUGAAAGUAAAAGUUAAAAGUAUAGUGAGGGCCUUCAAAAAUCCUCAAGCCAUUCUGGGAUUGGCCUUUAACAGCAACGACUAUUAAAAAAUAUCCCAAAGGUACCAUGUUUGUAACAAAAAUGGUUUGACAAUUUUUGAAUACCAUGACUGCCAAUUAUAUAUACUAUAUGAUGAGUGUGCCAUCUGGUUUUUGUAAUUAGUUGACCUGCAUGGAUUUUAAUCUGUGCUUUAAAAAAUGUAUGAUAAAAAGUAUGAACCAAUGUAGAGAGGGACAGUUAGAUAAGGCCCCCAAAGAGAUUUAGGCCUGGGAUUGGGUGGGAGCAUUCACAGGAAUACAGCCUAGAAUUCUCCAUUGUAGCCACACAUGGAAUCAGCCUUACCUGUGGGACCUUAUGUGCUUUAAGAACGCUGGUACUUUUGGCCACGUAGACAAGUUUAUUUCAACUCAGACUUACUCAAUAUUUAAAUUAUUGUAUAGUCCUGACCCUAUUGUCCAGUUAAUUUAGAUGCCAGAAGUCAAAGCCAGAACUGGGACCCCACAACUCUUAAAUAUUGGUUCCUAUCCUGCCUAUGCCUAUAGCCAGCCACACUGGUUUCAAUGUUCUAUAGUCGUUUUGCUACAAUCAUGUUAGGGUGAAAAUCUGUACGUCAGAACUAAUAAAUGGUAAUUAUUUUUUAAGUGCAUGAGACCUGGGGCCUUCUCUUUCUACUUGCACUCUGCUUAUAAUAGUUUCUAUCUGUAGAUCUCAGGCCUUCAUAAAGAUCUCCAUCAGCUCACAAAAAGUAUUUGUCUCUGUAGAGUGGCAUGUGGCCAUUUGAGUAAAAAUCAAAGUACACGAGGGUUCAGUUCACAGACAUCCUGUCCGUCGAGACAAGUGUUAAUUUUAUUGGCAGGCAUACUGAAGCCCCUUUCUUCUUAGCCAUACAUUUUUUUCCUACCAAAUCACUUCACAAUGUCAAGUGCUUAACAAUAUGUGACAAAACAGUGGUGUUUUAGUGAGUGACACUCAGCGGGUGUUAACGUAGUUUGGGUAAGAGUAAAAACACCAAAAGCUGAUUAGCCAUGGUACCAAGAACUGUGCAUAUGCGUUCAGAAAUAGACUGCAUAUCUAGAAUAUGCAGUGAAAUAUUUUCAAUAGGUGUUUUUUAAUGAACACUAGAUAGUUAAUGAACACUAGAUAUUUAAUGAACACUAAUAUAUGUCUAAUUAGAAGUAUACUGUUUUCAAUAGUCCAUUAAAUAUUAUAUAAAAUAUUUAUUUAAUUUAUCAUCACGCAUUGGCUUUCAAGGGGCUUCAGAUCCCACGUCUUCAGUGGAUUGAUGCAUUUCCGGUGUCUUUGUGCCUGCCUUGGCCAUCUCUACUCUAUCCUGAGGUAUUCCACCAUUCUCUUGUUGCAGGUGCUGCUAAAAAUCUCAAAAAAAAAAUGUGGAUAAGAUAUUUUGUUCCAGUUGUUUGAAAAAAUCAUCUGUGUCAAAGUGAAUAAAAAGUGCAUUUUGAAUAACCAGC